CAAUAGCGUAUAUUAAAGUUGUUGCAGUUAAAAAGCUCGUAGUUGAAUUUCGGGUCCCCGCGCUCGGCGCUUCAUUGUGCCGUCGUGGUGUCCCUCCUCGCCGUAAGGCGUCCUCUACUGUGAAAAAAUUAGAGUGUUCAAAGCAGGCAAUCGCUUGAAUACAUUAGCAUGGAAUAAUAAGAUAGGAUCUUGUCUAUUUUGUUGGUUGCGGACAACGAUAAUGAUUAAUAGGGAUAGUUGGGGGUGUCCGUAUUGAGCUGUCAGAGGUGAAAUUCUUGGAUUUGCUCAAGACGAACUACUGCGAAAGCAUUCACCAAGGAUGUUUUCAUUAA
RNAcentral lists this ribosomal RNA (332 nucleotides) under uncultured eukaryote. Its description in RNAcentral is "partial 18S ribosomal RNA". It matches the Rfam family "Eukaryotic small subunit ribosomal RNA", at positions 592 to 976 of the family's 1831-position model. The record is from RNAcentral.